Callorhinus ursinus (northern fur seal) is the source of this 745-nucleotide non-coding RNA. Lineage: Eukaryota; Metazoa; Chordata; Mammalia; Carnivora; Otariidae. The record is from RefSeq and is a predicted model, not a curated record.
AUUAUUCAGCUCCCCACACUGUUCAAUCUUCAUUCCCUUAAUUCAUCAUUCCUCUCAUUCAGUUGAUUAAUAACUAUUCUUUUGAAUAAAUACCCGACCUUUGGUUCUAAGUGCUACUCCAUACCACAGUCAUUACUUCCACACUAUACUCUGUGUUAUUUUUCCCCAGAGUUUGAAGCACCAACCCCCCUCCCAGAGACAAAAGAGAAUGUGGUGUGUGCCCUGGGCCUGGUUGUGGGUCUAGUUGGCAUCAUUGUUGGGACCAUCUUCAUCAUCAAGGGAAUGCGCAAGGUCAAUGCUGGUGAACGCCGAGGACCUCUGUGAGGCACCUGCAGGCAAUGCAGUUUCCUAGAGAGAAGAUCAAUGAAGAAAUUUGUGCUUCAGUAACUUUAUAAACCUGGCAAUAUUUCAACCAUUCAUCUCGCUGAAGACAAAAAUUCUUCCACAUUUUCCAGACCUUUAGCUGUUUUAAUAAUAAUGAUGCCUUCCUGCUCUGUCCACAUUCUGAUUUCUAGUUAUUCCCUGUUUUUUGCCCCUUCCUGGGUCUGUUUUCUUCCAUUUCCUACCAUCAUUUAAUAUCACCAUGUAAUGCUCUAGAAUAGACCCCAUAGUAUCGUGUCUCGGCUGUGGAAUCUUAUGAAUGUUCAAUACAGACAUCCCUUCUAUACUUAUUGCUUGGGUUUCUUCAAAAUGUGAUUGUGAUUUUUUUUUAACACAAUAAACUAUUUGAUGGGUCUGAAAUGAA